ACACCCCAAAGCUCUUUUGUUUCUGGGUUGCAUUGACGUCAGAGGCGGCUCCAUUGUUCCAGAAACCAGAGUAAACAGACAGCUCAUCCCCACCUCACAGAUUCCCCGGCAGGCCCAGUUUUUUUUUUUUUUUUUUGGUCUUGCUCCAUAUUCAGCCUGCAACCUAAUACUAUGUUUCCUCCUCAAAUGCAGCCUUUUCUCUUUCCACUGGGGCAAUCUGUUCUUUUAGCAAUUCUCCAAUGCUGUGGGCUUCUAGAACUCCUUGGAAUCUAAUCUGCUUUUGAUUUCAAGUUUUCACUCACUCCACAAAGGUUUGUUGACACCUGGCCCUUAGGGGUGUGUGUGUGCUAUAUGAAUCACCUUUCUGUUGCUAGGAUAAAAUAUCUGGCAAAUAUGGUUUAAAGGAGAAAAGGUUUAUCUUGGCUCAGAGUUUAGAGGUUUCAUUUGGCGGAAGAAAGCUGCUUACCUCAAGGCAGUUAGGAAGCAGGAAGUGCUGGAAAAAAGCCAGAGAAAGAGGAGGGUCCCCAGAACAAAAACACCCUUCCAGGUUACAUCCCCAGGGCCCACGUCUUCCAACCAGGCAUAUUCAUCUAGGAAUGCAUCUGUGGGUUAAUCCUGGGGUCAGGUUGGUGCCACGUGGCCCAAUCACCUUGCAAAAGCUCUACUUCUGCACACAUGACCUGUGGGAGGACUUUUUUGAUGAUCCUAGAAUCUGAAUCUAGGGACUUUGUGCUGAGCUAUAUCCUCAGCCUUUUUUUACUUUUUAUUUUGAAAUAGGAGCUUACUAAGUUGUUAAAUUGGCCAGUCUGGGCUCGAACUUAUGAUCUUCCUGCCUUGGCCUCCCAGAGACCUGGGAUCACAGGUUUGUACCACCAUGCGUGGCUGUGGGGUGGGAGCAGUUGACCCAAACUGUAACCCAUGAAAAAAAUACAUCCUGUUUGAUCCCUGUUUGUAAGGAGUUUGUGAUGUAGAAGAAAUGCUGGGUGAGGCGGAUGUGGAGGCAGUUUUGUGCAGGACGGGUGUAAGUCCUGAGAGAACAGGCCAGACUCAGGCAGGAGCUUCCAUCCAUCCUUCCAACAGAAAAGAAGGUUGUGGAGUAUGAAGCCCCAGGAGCAGGCCAAAUCCAUGAACACCAUUCUUGCUGAGUCAAGAUGGAGAGGAGGACAGAUGGCUGGAGCGGGGCAGUCAGGUUGGAGCAACGGGGACCCUUUCCCAGCCAGCCACCACUGAUGGGCCGUUACCUUCAGCACAGAGCUGUUGGCCUGGAACCCCACCAUCACCUGUGUACCCGACUAGCAUCUCUUAUUAGCAACUUUGCAAAUAAAGGCAUGGUUUUAACAGAAGAAAAAAAUAUCAGUCACUUGAGAAGAGAUUACUUCAGACUUCCUGGUCAUGAAGCCGUUGGAAGAAAAACCAAGGAUUUCACCAGGGUGAAAGCUGUGUCCUUUGGUGAGGGUGGUGACAGCCAUGAAGGAAGUUGCAGUAACCUGUCAGCAGUGGCAUCAUGACUACCGGUGCUUCCGCCUGUGGAUGGCUGGGCCAGGCAGGC
Molecule: long non-coding RNA, 1549 nt
Organism: Chinchilla lanigera (long-tailed chinchilla)
Lineage: Eukaryota; Metazoa; Chordata; Mammalia; Rodentia; Chinchillidae
Exons: 3
Source: RefSeq, a predicted model, not a curated record